This 570-nucleotide ribosomal RNA is filed under the name uncultured haloarchaeon. Its description in RNAcentral is "bacterial SSU rRNA". It matches the Rfam family "Archaeal small subunit ribosomal RNA", at positions 340 to 909 of the family's 1478-position model. The record is from RNAcentral. Lineage: Archaea; Methanobacteriati; Methanobacteriota; Halobacteria; Halobacteriales; Halobacteriaceae.
CGCGAAACCUUUACACUGCACGCCAGUGCGAUAAGGGGACUCCAAGUGCGAGGGCAUAUCGUCCUCGCUUUUCACCACCGUAAGGUGGUGGUGGAAUAAGGGCUGGGCAAGACCGGUGCCAGCCGCCGCGGUAAUACCGGCAGCCCGAGUGAUGACCGCUAUUAUUGGGCCUAAAGCGUCCGUAGCUGGCCUCGCAAGUCCAUCGGGAAAUCCGCGCGCUCAACGCGCGGGCGUCCGGUGGAAACUGCGUGGCUUGGGACCGGAAGACCUGAGGGGUACGUCUGGGGUAGGAGUGAAAUCCUGUAAUCCUGGACGGACCACCGGUGGCGAAAGCGCCUCAGGAGGACGGAUCCGACGGUGAGGGACGAAAGCUCGGGUCACGAACCGGAUUAGAUACCCGGGUAGUCCGAGCUGUAAACGAUGUCUGCUAGGUGUGCCACAGGCUACGAGCCUGUGGUGUGCCGUAGGGAAGCCGUGAAGCAGACCGCCUGGGAAGUACGUCCGCAAGGAUGAAACUUAAAGGAAUUGGCGGGGGAGCACUACAACCGGAGGAGCCUGCGGUUUAAUUGG